GAAGUUUAUGUUCUCUGUCACAAACUCCAUUUUCGUAUUCCAUGGACAGCUCUCACUAAUCUGAUCAUAACUCUCUGCUCACAACUCCGAUUCAGAAAAACGAGUUUGAAGUUGGAAGAUCCAUGCUGAAUGUGUGUCAAAGAUUGGCUACGGGUUUGAUGAAGAUGUAGUGAAACUUUGGCUAUGGUGGGAGUUCAAUGGCAGCAAAGAACUUCUUUCUAACCUCCCUAAAUCCAAGGUGCAGUUUAGUAGCGUUUGACAGAUAGCAGGUUCGGAUUGACGACUUAAAGUGGUGAUGGCUCGGAGACCUCGUCAGAUCUCAUUUUCCGCUGUGCAGAUCCAUGAAGACACAUGUUUUGUAAUUAUUAAUAUUAUUUCAUGUUGUAUUUAUAUGGAUCAUCUUGUAUCUUUAGCUUUUGUAUGUACUCAAAUACCGAUUUUUAACGUUUCAUGCAUAAUA
Molecule: long non-coding RNA, 460 nt
Organism: Vicia villosa (hairy vetch)
Lineage: Eukaryota; Viridiplantae; Streptophyta; Magnoliopsida; Fabales; Fabaceae
Exons: 3
Source: RefSeq, a predicted model, not a curated record